UACGUAGGGGGCAAGCGUUGUCCGGAUUUAUUGGGCGUAAAGAGCUCGUAGGCGGUUUGGUAAGUCUGGUGUGAAAUCUCCACGCUCAACGUGGAGGGGCCACCCGAUACUGCCAUGACUGGAGUCCGGUAGAGGAGUGUGGAAUUCCCGGUGUAGCGGUGAAAUGCGCAGAUAUCGGGAGGAACACCAGUGGCGAAGGCGGUUAGCUGGCCUGUAACUGACACUGAGGCGCGAAGGCUAGGGGAGCGAACAGG
RNAcentral lists this ribosomal RNA (254 nucleotides) under uncultured bacterium. RNAcentral describes it as "partial 16S ribosomal RNA". It matches the Rfam family "Bacterial small subunit ribosomal RNA", at positions 524 to 776 of the family's 1533-position model. The record is from RNAcentral.